RNAcentral lists this ribosomal RNA (550 nucleotides) under uncultured bacterium. RNAcentral's name for it is "partial 16S ribosomal RNA". It matches the Rfam family "Bacterial small subunit ribosomal RNA", at positions 355 to 895 of the family's 1533-position model. The record is from RNAcentral.
UGGGGAAUAUUGGACAAUGGGCGCAAGCCUGAUCCAGCAAUGCCGCGUGUGUGAAGAAGGCCUUCGGGUUGUAAAGCACUUUUAUCAGGAGCGAAACGCUGUCGGCUAAUACCCGGCGGAACUGACGGUACCUGAGGAAUAAGCACCGGCUAACUUCGUGCCAGCAGCCGCGGUAAUACGAAGGGUGCAAGCGUUAAUCGGAAUUACUGGGCGUAAAGCGUGCGUAGGCGGUUUCUUAAGUCUGCUGUGAAAUCCCCGGGCUCAACCUGGGAAUGGCAGUGGAUACUGGGAGGCUAGAGUGUGUCAGAGGGUGGUGGAAUUCCCGGUGUAGCGGUGAAAUGCGUAGAGAUCGGGAGGAACAUCAGUGGCGAAGGCGGCCACCUGGGACAACACUGACGCUGAGGCACGAAAGCGUGGGGAGCAAACAGGAUUAGAUACCCUGGUAGUCCACGCCCUAAACGAUGCGAACUGGAUGUUGGUCUCAACUCGGAGAUCAGUGUCGAAGCUAACGCGUUAAGUUCGCCGCCUGGGGGAGUACGGUCGCAAGACU